CGGCGGGCGGCGCGCGGGGACGCGCGGCCCGGCUCGCGCCCUCGCUCGCUCCCACGCCCGGGCAAAGUUUGCGGGAGGAAGGAGGCUCCGUGGGCUCUCCGCCCCCAGCUCCCCGGCUGCCGAGAUUUUGGCUUGAAGAUCUGCUAUUUAACUUCCUAAAGGAGAAAAGAGAGGCCAUCAUUCACAUUUUCCCAUGAGAAUGAAAUGCAGAACUAGAACCUACCAUCGAUGAAGGAUUUUCCCCAGGUAAAUUUUCCUUCGUCUGUGCCAGUAAAUUGUGUGAUCAAAAUGUUUACCACUACACUAAUUCAUUUAA
RNAcentral lists this long non-coding RNA (316 nucleotides) under Dasypus novemcinctus (nine-banded armadillo). Its description in RNAcentral is "lncRNA (ENSDNOG00000051601.1)". Lineage: Eukaryota; Metazoa; Chordata; Mammalia; Cingulata; Dasypodidae. The record is from RNAcentral.